AGUGGAACUUCUGGGUCAUGUGGUAGUUCUGUUUAAAGUUUUGAGGAACUGCCAAAGUCUUCCACAGUGAGUGUACAUCUUACAUUUCCACCAGCAGU
RNAcentral lists this microRNA precursor (98 nucleotides) under Marmota monax (woodchuck). Lineage: Eukaryota; Metazoa; Chordata; Mammalia; Rodentia; Sciuridae. The record is from RNAcentral.